Molecule: long non-coding RNA, 741 nt
Filed under: Mus musculus (house mouse)
Lineage: Eukaryota; Metazoa; Chordata; Mammalia; Rodentia; Muridae
Description: ilncRNA-EC40
Source: RNAcentral
AAUAACAGUAACUCAUUUAUAGGUGGUGACAUCACCCAGCCUUAUCUGAAGAGAAGGUUAGGCUGUGAGUGAGGCUUGUUAAAACUAAAGGGGCUGCACUGCUUUAUUUCUUUCAGGUAUGCAGGACUCCGAAUAAAAGAUUGAGUGAAACAAGCUUCGUAUCUGUCCUAAGAAUACCUGUUUUCAAUCAUCUUUGAAACAUUUACUGAAACAGUGUUUUGGGGAGACACAGAUAACCAUACCUAAUAUUUAAAAACUAAGAAAUCAACCCUUGGACUGAAGUGGAAAUUAAAACAGUUUUACAAGUCACAGAAAGUAAACCAGGUUCUACUCAGGGAGUCGUGGUCUCAGCAUAUGCUUGUUCCGCUCUGAAGCCACAGAAAACCAUUUCUCUGCUUUCAAGAGAAAGACUGAACAGUUGCUUAGAAAGUAUCAUGUAUUUUGCAUAUAAAUUCUCUGAGAAGUCUUGAAAUAAACAGAGCCUACACAUACCAAAGAAAAUACGAAGAACUCUCCAUAGUCUCUGAAGUGUUGAAGAUUAAUGGGGAGGCAGACUGUGUGUGGAGAUAAGGCCACCAUCCUAGGAUGGCAGCGUUGCCAAAGGAUGCUUUUAGGUGGCAUUAUUUAUUUUAGAUAAGUGUUUACUGUGCAUGCGGAAGAACGGAUCUGCAAGAUAGCAUAUGGGAAGACUCUCCAAAGCAAACACCAUAGCAGCACGAGCGUUUUCAGCUGUCUCCGGGC